RNAcentral lists this ribosomal RNA (746 nucleotides) under uncultured Parvimonas sp. Its description in RNAcentral is "bacterial SSU rRNA". It matches the Rfam family "Bacterial small subunit ribosomal RNA", at positions 28 to 776 of the family's 1533-position model. The record is from RNAcentral. Lineage: Bacteria; Bacillati; Bacillota; Tissierellia; Tissierellales; Peptoniphilaceae.
GACGAACGCUGGCGGCGUGCUUAACACAUGCAAGUCGAACGUGAUUUUUGUGGAAAUUCUUUCGGGAAUGGAAAUGAAAUGAAAGUGGCGAACGGGUGAGUAACACGUGAGCAACCUACCUUACACAGGGGGAUAGCCGUUGGAAACGACGAUUAAUACCGCAUGAGACCACAGAAUCGCAUGAUAUAGGGGUCAAAGAUUUAUCGGUGUAAGAAGGGCUCGCGUCUGAUUAGCUAGUUGGAAGGGUAAAGGCCUACCAAGGCGACGAUCAGUAGCCGGUCUGAGAGGAUGAACGGCCACAUUGGAACUGAGACACGGUCCAAACUCCUACGGGAGGCAGCAGUGGGGAAUAUUGCACAAUGGGGGGAACCCUGAUGCAGCGACGCCGCGUGAGCGAAGAAGGUUUUCGAAUCGUAAAGCUCUGUCCUAUGAGAAGAUAAUGACGGUAUCAUAGGAGGAAGCCCCGGCUAAAUACGUGCCAGCAGCCGCGGUAAUACGUAUGGGGCGAGCGUUGUCCGGAAUUAUUGGGCGUAAAGGGUACGUAGGCGGUUUUUUAAGUCAGGUGUGAAAGCGUGAAGCUUAACCUCAUUAAGCACUUGAAACUGGAAGACUUGAGUGAAGGAGAGGAAAGUGGAAUUCCUAGUGUAGCGGUGAAAUGCGUAGAUAUUAGGAGGAAUACCGGCGGCGAAGGCGACUUUCUGGACUUUUACUGACGCUCAGGUACGAAAGCGUGGGGAGCAAACAGG